This 76-nucleotide transfer RNA is filed under the name bacterium. Its description in RNAcentral is "tRNA-Arg". It matches the Rfam family "tRNA". From Rfam's summary of the family: Transfer RNA (tRNA) molecules are approximately 80 nucleotides in length. Their secondary structure includes four short double-helical elements and three loops (D, anti-codon, and T loops). The record is from RNAcentral.
GGCCCUGUAGCUCAGUAGACAGAGCAGUCCCGUCCUAAGGGAAAGGUCGGGGGUGCAAUUCCCUCCAGGGCCGCCA